This 144-nucleotide ribosomal RNA is filed under the name uncultured eukaryote. RNAcentral describes it as "partial small subunit ribosomal RNA". It matches the Rfam family "Bacterial small subunit ribosomal RNA", at positions 1383 to 1525 of the family's 1533-position model. The record is from RNAcentral.
GUACACACCGCCCGUCACACCAUGGGAGUUGUUUGGACCCAAAGUCGCCUGCCAACUCGCAAGAGAAGUAAGCGCCUAAGGUCUGGACAGUGACUGGGGUGAAGUCGUAACAAGGUAGCAGUAGGUGAACCUGCAGAAGGAUCA